UACAGAGGUGGCAAGCGUUGUUCGGAAUUACUGGGCGUAAAGGGCGCGUAGGCGGCCUCCUAAGUCAGACGUGAAAUCCCCCGGCUUAACCUGGGAACUGCGUCUGAUACUGGGAAGCUUGAGUAUGGGAGAGGAAGGUAGAAUUCCAGGUGUAGCGGUGAAAUGCGUAGAUAUCUGGAGGAACACCGGUGGCGAAGGCGGCCUUCUGGACCAUAACUGACGCUGAGCCGCGAAAGCUAGGGGAGCAAACGGG
Molecule: ribosomal RNA, 253 nt
Filed under: uncultured bacterium
Lineage: Bacteria
Description: partial 16S ribosomal RNA
Rfam family: Bacterial small subunit ribosomal RNA
Source: RNAcentral